RNAcentral lists this ribosomal RNA (447 nucleotides) under uncultured bacterium. RNAcentral's name for it is "bacterial SSU rRNA". It matches the Rfam family "Bacterial small subunit ribosomal RNA", at positions 355 to 825 of the family's 1533-position model. The record is from RNAcentral.
UAGGGAAUAUUGGACAAUGGGGGAAACCCUGACCCAGCAACGCCGCGUGAAGGAUGAAGUAUUUCGGUAUGUAAACUUCGAAAGAAUAGGAAGAAUAAAUGACGGUACUAUUUAUAAGGUCCGGCUAACUACGUGCCAGCAGCCGCGGUAAUACGUAGGGACCAAGCGUUGUUCGGAUUUACUGGGCGUAAAGGGCGCGUAGGCGGCAUGACAAGUCACUUGUGAAAUCUCUGGGCUUAACCCAGAACGGCCAAGUGAUACUGUCGCGCUAGAGUGCAGAAGGGGCAAUCGGAAUUCUUGGUGUAGCGGUGAAAUGCGUAGAUAUCAAGAGGAACACCUGAGGUGAAGACGGGUUGCUGGGCUGACACUGACGCUGAGGCGCGAAAGCCAGGGGAGCAAACGGGAUUAGAUACCCGNGUAGUCCCUGAGCGGGCUGGCAAGGCGCAU